UGACCUCGAAUCAGGUAGGAAUACCCGCUGAACUUAAGCAUAUCAAUAA
This 49-nucleotide ribosomal RNA is filed under the name Fusarium solani. RNAcentral describes it as "partial 28S ribosomal RNA". The record is from RNAcentral. Lineage: Eukaryota; Fungi; Ascomycota; Sordariomycetes; Hypocreales; Nectriaceae. RNAcentral also lists the same sequence under 2 other names.